GAGAAGAACGCAGCGAAAUGCGAUACGUAAUGUGAAUUGCAGAAUUCAGUGAAUCAUCGAAUCUUUGAACGCAUAUUGCGCUCUCUGGUAUUCCGGAGAGCAUGCUUGUUUGAGUAUCAGUAAACACCUCAACUCCCUUUUCUUUUUUGAAAUUGGAGCUGGACUUGAGUGAUCCCAACGCUUUCUUCCAAGAAAGUGGCGGGUUGCUUGAAAUGCAGGUGCAGCUGAACUUUUCUCUGAGCUAUAAGCAUAUCUAUUUAGUCUGCCUAAAAAACAGAUUAUUACCUUUGCUGCAGCUAACAUAAAGGAGACUAGUUCUUGUGCUGACUGAUGCAGGAUUCACAGAGACAGCUUCGGCUGACUUUGUAAACUCGAUCUCAAAUCAAGUAAGACUACCCGCUGAACUUAAGCAUAUCAAUAAGCGGAGGA
Molecule: unclassified non-coding RNA, 429 nt
Filed under: soil metagenome
Description: partial contains 5.8S ribosomal RNA, internal transcribed spacer 2, and large subunit ribosomal RNA
Rfam family: 5.8S ribosomal RNA (bases 3-119)
Source: RNAcentral